Molecule: ribosomal RNA, 449 nt
Filed under: uncultured bacterium
Lineage: Bacteria
Description: bacterial SSU rRNA
Rfam family: Bacterial small subunit ribosomal RNA
Source: RNAcentral
AACGAACGCUGGCGGCAUGCCUAACACAUGCAAGUCGAACGGGACCUUCGGGUCUAGUGGCGGACGGGUGAGUAACGCGUGGGAACGUGCCCUUUGGUUCGGAAUAGCCUCGGGAAACUGGGAGUAAUACCGGAUACGGUCGGAAGACGAAAGAUUUAUCGCCGAAGGAUCGGCCCGCGUUGGAUUAGGUAGUUGGUGGGGUAAAGGCCUACCAAGCCGACGAUCCAUAGCUGGUUUGAGAGGAUGAUCAGCCACACUGGGACUGAGACACGGCCCAGACUCCUACGGGAGGCAGCAGUGGGGAAUAUUGGACAAUGGGCGAAAGCCUGAUCCAGCCAUGCCGCGUGAGUGAUGAAGGCCUUAGGGUUGUAAAGCUCUUUCGCCAGGGAAGAUAAUGACGGUACCUGGAAAGAAGCCUCGGCUGACUCCGUGCCAGCAGCCGCGGUAAU